CAUCGUCUCAAAUCCAUCUAGUACAUAAGAGUUUAUCAGAACGCAGCCCGUACAUCAAGUCCCAAAACUGAAAUUAAAGACAAAAGGGAAAUCAAGCUCGGUCCUCAAAAUAUGAGGACUCACCACAACUUGAAAUCUCUUUAACAACCUCUAGCCACGAAAUUGAGAACCCUGAAUGUCAGAUCCUACAUUUGAGAAAAUGUAGGCAAGAGUAUACAUUAGUACAAAAAUUCACCAAGUAUGAUAGUCAUGCAUAAAAGUAUGAAAUCAUGCUAAAUCGGACAUUUUCAUGAUAUUCAAAGACCAAGUCAAACAUAAGAUAAGAAGGUCAGAAACAUAAAACGAAAUCAUGAUCAAUGCAAGAUAAACCGUCUUUGAACACAUGUGAGAUACUUCUUGAAGUAACCUUAGUUCAUUAUUAUUGCAAAAAUUAGCCUUAACUGACAUAAAUACCAUGUGAGCUAUAACAUGAUCCCUUGGUGUCUCCCACACCGAAAAGGGUUGUCCUACUUUCCAAGGUAGAACCAUGAAUCUGAGCUAAAGUUGAUCCACUAGUUAAUUUCUAUUUAGACAAUCAUCCAAUGGGGGCACAUAGGUAAGGGAUAAGGAUAUUGCUUUUAGAAACCCGACCUCAACACAGAAGAGCUUCCAUCUCAAUAUCAUCUUGGUUCUAAACAUAAAUCCCACGGAGUAGUUAUUAAUCUUAACUUGUCUCGUGAUCCAUGGAAAGGCAUAAUUAAGUAGCCAAUCCAAGCUAAAAUCAUAUUAUCAUCCAUGGAAAGGUGCAAUUAAGCAACCAAACCAAGAUAGAGUCAUAGUAUAGCUCCUUAGACCAUGCAUGAGAAAACCUUUCACCAUCCAUGAUCUUUUCAUAAUAGCUUCUAAGGCCCACAUUCAUUCACUUUAUGCUAGAGAUGCCCUACUAAUACUAAUGGAAAUAGUUUUGAAAUUGUGGCCUAUAAUCAUUGAUCACAUAUGCGGAUACCAUACUAGUUAAAACCUAAUUUAGGAAAAUAGCUCGAAAACUAUUGAGGGCAAAUCUAGAUGUCAUUCAUGUCAUCUGGCCAAGAUUCAUAGAACAUAUAGACAAUCUCAUCUAUAAGAUUUCUUGAGUAAUAAACAUAACUUAUAAACAUGCAUUCUUUUUAAUAAUUCAUAAGCUUCAUCAUAUUUUCAAAGUCAAAGCAUCUUCAAUUCCAUAACAACAAUCUCAUCAAAAGGACAUGCAUAUUUUCAUAAAUUCAUCUUUCAUAUUUCAUGACCCACAUUAUGUCGAUAGAUGAAAGUCGGAGGUAAAGCUCUUAGCGCACGAUAGAAAAUUAGGUAACGUUCUCAGCGCACGAUAGCAAGGAAGCAAUUGUACCUGAGGAUUCUUCCAAUGGGAAGUCGGUGAGCUCCGAUGAACACAAGCAUUGCAAAAAAAUGGACACGCUUGUUACAGAUGUUAUACAGAAGUUGCAACCAUUAACUUUUGGUAGCUUCCUACCAUCAAAAUUCAAAGCAAUUCCAGAG
RNAcentral lists this long non-coding RNA (1512 nucleotides) under Solanum tuberosum (potato). RNAcentral describes it as "long non-coding RNA (STUB_LNC008093)". Lineage: Eukaryota; Viridiplantae; Streptophyta; Magnoliopsida; Solanales; Solanaceae. The record is from RNAcentral.